This is a non-coding RNA of Nicotiana tabacum (common tobacco), 472 nucleotides long. NCBI's taxonomy places the organism in Eukaryota, Viridiplantae, Streptophyta, Magnoliopsida, Solanales, Solanaceae. The record is from RefSeq and is a predicted model, not a curated record.
CCGAGAAAGUUUGUCAUGUUGAGUGGAAGCCAUGCGAUUGGGGAAUAACUGCUGAUUUGGGCAAAAGUGAUAACACCGCGAAAGAUGAAGUGAAGGUCCCAACUCCCAACCGCAUUCACAUUCAAGAAAUCCAGAUAUGAGAUACCUAUUUUCUAUCCCUUUAGCCAAAAGCUGUUGUUAUUAUUGGAAUUAAUCCCUCUUUAUUACUAUGUCAUCUUUGCCCAUUCCUAAAUUCAUUUCUCCAGUAGACUUAUAAUUCACAAAAAUGGGUGCUUCUAAAUCAGUUCCACAGAAAUCAAUCCACGAAUUCACCGUCAAGGACAUUAGAGGGAAAGAUGUAGACCUUAGCAUGUACAAAGGCAAAGUGCUUCUUGUCGUUAAUGUUGCCUCCAAAUGUGGGUUCACAAGCACCAAUUAUACCCAAUUGACUCAACUCUAUAACCAAUACAAGGAUAAAGGUUUUGAGGUCUUG